UCAGAUUUUUUUUUUUUUUUGAGAAAAAGACAGCAAGCUACAUGCUUCAUUCAUUAAGCAAAAUAAACUGAGCAUACAAGUUGGAAGCAGCUAGGGCCUCUGAAAAAACAACAAAAAGAGGGAAACAAAGGAAUGGAAAAGAACGAGCUAGGCGAGAAGGGAGAAAAGAAAAUAAAGUAAAGCUGGUGAUGCAUCAGUGCAGAGAGGUCCAAUUGCUGAUCAAAAGAUUAACCCGU
This 236-nucleotide long non-coding RNA is filed under the name Ananas comosus (pineapple). Its description in RNAcentral is "long non-coding RNA (ACOM_LNC030179)". The record is from RNAcentral. Lineage: Eukaryota; Viridiplantae; Streptophyta; Magnoliopsida; Poales; Bromeliaceae.